UAAUAAAUUCUAAAUAAUAUUUUACAGACUGGUGUAACUUUAAAAGACACACAACAAAAUUGAUCAUAGUCGUGUUCGGACGUGUGUAUUUUGAUCGCCGCAGCAGGCAGCACAGAUAGCUGCAUACUCAAGGGCAACGGCCGAGAAGGAGAGUAAUGAGGGUGACAAAGAUCUAUUCCCUCGGAUAGAAUGUAUAAACCAU
This 202-nucleotide non-coding RNA is filed under the name Minutocellus polymorphus. Lineage: Eukaryota; Bacillariophyta; Thalassiosirophyceae; Cymatosirales; Cymatosiraceae. The record is from RNAcentral.